RNAcentral lists this ribosomal RNA (458 nucleotides) under uncultured bacterium. RNAcentral's name for it is "partial 16S ribosomal RNA". It matches the Rfam family "Bacterial small subunit ribosomal RNA", at positions 29 to 507 of the family's 1533-position model. The record is from RNAcentral.
AACGAACGCUGGCGGCAGGCCUAACACAUGCAAGUCGAGCGAGGACUUCGGUUCUAGCGGCGGACGGGUGAGUAACGCGUGGGAAUGUGCCCUUCUCUACGGAAUCGCCCUGGGAAACUGGGCUUAAUACCGUAUACGCCCUAUUGGGGAAAGAUUUAUCGGAGAAGGAUCAGCCCGCGUUGGAUUAGGUGGUUGGUGGGGUAAUGGCCUACCAAGCCGACGAUCCAUAGCUGGUUUGAGAGGAUGAUCAGCCACACUGGGACUGAGACACGGCCCAGACUCCUACGGGAGGCAGCAGUAGGGAAUCUUCCGCAAUGGGCGAAAGCCUGACGGAGCAACGCCGCGUGAGUGAUGAAGGUCUUCGGAUCGUAAAACUCUGUUAUUAGGGAAGAACAAAUGUGUAAGUAACUGUGCACGUCUUGACGGUACCUAAUCAGAAAGCCACGGCUAACUACGUG